CGGGCUGUCUCCUAACAAAGGGAAAAGCAGCAUGAAGCAACAGGGAGUUGUUUUAUAGGAGUGGGGUGGAGUUAACUUGAGCUGAGGUGGAGUUGAGUGCGGUAGCAUUAAGAGAUUGGAGGAGCCUGUGACAUCACUAGGAGGGGCUUGUGACAUCACCGGUUACUCAGAGGUAGCAAGCAUCAGGUUACUUUUUAGGCAUGAAAAAAGGGAUGAUGGGAAGAAGGCUGUCCCUUGGUAGGAGGAGCCAUAUUUACCAUGGAGGCUGCUGCUAUUCCAGGUGGCAGCCAUCUUAAGGCACAGAGCAUUAUGGGGAGGAGGCUACUGUUUUAUGUAGCAGCCAUCUUGAGAUUAUUACAAGGUACACAGGAGUACUUACUUUUCAACAACUGUUACACCUUGAAACCAUCUGAGAAGUGA
Molecule: long non-coding RNA, 420 nt
Filed under: Fukomys damarensis (Damara mole-rat)
Lineage: Eukaryota; Metazoa; Chordata; Mammalia; Rodentia; Bathyergidae
Description: lncRNA (ENSFDAG00000026182.1)
Source: RNAcentral